GUUUUCCCACACCUCCGACAGGAAUUGUGUAGAAAAAUCAUCAUCCACUACAAAUAUGCUUUGGAGGAAAAUUUCAGAAGUUUCUGGAAAAUCUCUGUUAAAGAUUGCCAAGAAUCAAUUGAUAAAGGAACGAAUUUUAUCAGAAAAAUAUUUUGAUAUGAAACAAAUGAGAACAAAUAUAUGAAACAAAUGAGGGUCUCGUAUUUGAACUGUAACAUCUGGUCACUUACGGUCAUUUGUGCACUCAUCGCACUUCAUCUUAACUGCAGCUGAGUAUACAAAUUUAACAGUAAGAUAAGAAAACAUCUCUUCGCAUGACGUCAGAUCCUGGAACUUAACAACAUAAGGAGCAUCUUUGCAAUGACGAAAGUCUGUGAAUUAUGCACGCUAUCUAUCCACUUGAUAGCACUUAAAAAAAAAAAAUAAAUAAAUAAAUAAA
This is a long non-coding RNA of Stegodyphus dumicola, 439 nucleotides long. NCBI's taxonomy places the organism in Eukaryota, Metazoa, Arthropoda, Arachnida, Araneae, Eresidae. The record is from RefSeq and is a predicted model, not a curated record.